This 210-nucleotide ribosomal RNA is filed under the name Escherichia coli. RNAcentral's name for it is "partial 16S ribosomal RNA". It matches the Rfam family "Bacterial small subunit ribosomal RNA", at positions 1 to 216 of the family's 1533-position model. Lineage: Bacteria; Pseudomonadati; Pseudomonadota; Gammaproteobacteria; Enterobacterales; Enterobacteriaceae. RNAcentral also lists the same sequence under 1 other name. The record is from RNAcentral.
AAAUUGAAGAGUUUGAUCAUGGCUCAGAUUGAACGCUGGCGGCAGGCCUAACACAUGCAAGUCGAACGGUAACAGGAAGCAGCUUGCUGUUUCGCUGACGAGUGGCGGACGGGUGAGUAAUGUCUGGGAAACUGCCUGAUGGAGGGGGAUAACUACUGGAAACGGUAGCUAAUACCGCAUAACGUCGCAAGACCAAAGAGGGGGCCCUUC